This is a long non-coding RNA of Cydia splendana, 1818 nucleotides long. RefSeq lists it as uncharacterized. The transcript is spliced from 3 exons. The record is from RefSeq and is a predicted model, not a curated record. Lineage: Eukaryota; Metazoa; Arthropoda; Insecta; Lepidoptera; Tortricidae.
GUUGCCACUUUUUAAUUUCUACUUUUUUGCCAAGCUGUAAAAUUGUAUAACAAACGCCUUUUCUCGUACAAAAAUAAAUCACAAAUUCCAACGCGGCAUUGGCUGGUAAGUCCAAAAAUAAUACUUAAACCUAAGUUAAUAUAAAAACGAAUAGACCCCUCCACAUUCACGCAAAAAACAUCCAUGGUACAGUCAGCAAAACUAUUAGCCAAGCACCCCUGCAUGCAUUAUGUUAUAACACAAGCUAAUAUCUUUGCUGAAUGUACAUAAAAACUGUGACAUAAUAAGGACUGCUAAAAGUUCACUGUAGAGUUGCUCUCCUCCAUUUAAUUUUCUGGAUGGCAUCUCAUAGACAUCGUUUACACGCUAAUUCUGGCGUCAGUUCAGUCCUUCAUUCCAUUCCAGUUUUGACUGAUGCCAGAAUGAUGGAAAAUGGACACGGUUAGACGAUCAGUCCAGACUGACAACAGACUGAUAAAAUUACGACACAGUCGCCGUUUGGACACAGAACGCAACAGUCGUUUAGUCUUGUAGUCUAAUAUGGAUAUUAUUAUAAAGAAAAAAAAAGGCCUGUGCUAUGAUAAUUAUCGCUUUACUGUUAAAAAAACGUAUAAAUAGAAAACGGUGGAUGAGAAGCUGGCUACAAAGAAGAGAUCAUUACACGCAUCUAAAUUUAAUUAAUGAAAUACGAGUACGGAAGGAAGACGAAGAUUUUGAAAAUUACUCUCGGAUGAAAGAAGAUCAGUUAUUGCAAAUGGUCAAACCAUAUUUGACAAGACAAAACCUGUAGUGCGGCCGGCGACCUCCUCGGCGUCCUCUUCCAUUGUUGCAUGGACGGUGACUGACGCGAGAAUGACACAAAGAGGUUACACGAUCAGUCUCCUAUCAGUUUUCUGUCAUUCAAAACGGACUGAUGAAAUUUAUCAAUAAAUUUAAAUUUUCAUCAGUCCAGACCAUCAGUCCAUCAGUCCGCAUGUUACACGAUAAUUCUCCCGUCAUUCUGACCAGACUGAUGGACUGAACUGACGCCAGAAUUAGCGUGUAACCGAUGUCUUAAACUAACAGGCGUCUUCUGAUUUUAAUUACAGGUAAAGAAUUAGAUCUGAAAUCUAAAUUAACUUUUUUUUCAACCAAACACGUCACUUUUGACACUAACAGAUCAGAUCCAUAACUAAUCUAGAUCUAAUUCAUAACCUGUUAUCAAAAUCAGAAUACGCCUGUAACUCACUAAAUUCAUCUUUUAUCUGAGGAACAAUUUUUAUGAAAAUUAGCAGUCUCUUUUUUUUACUUAUCUGGUAAAAUGUUCAGCGAGAAUGUGGACGAUUCUUAUAAUAAUUCUACACCAGUCCUAAGGCUUAUUUAUAGAUAAAUAGGUCCCGAAGUCAUGCAAUUACAUUUUUUUACGAAUUAUUCCCAGUGUUAAAGUCGCCAUAUUGGCUACGUGUGCCUGUGGCGCCGUCUGGUUGCUGUAGGCCACAUUAGUUAUUCGACAGUUGACAUAUGUCAAAUUUCGGGCCACGAAGGUUCACAAUUAUGUCGAGGCGUACGUAGUUCACAGUUUUCGUUGAUCACUUUGCACAUACCCAAUUGUAUACUCUAUGGCGUUGUUAUAAGAAUCAUUACCGAUUGGAUUAACUAGGAAUAAUUCAUUUUCCGAUACUCUGCAAUAUAUACAUCGCUUUAUGUAGCAGUCUAGUAAUCCGUGCGAUAAUAAGUAGGUACUUACAACAUAUACAAAUACAAAAAAGUCAGUUAUUCCCCCUAACUCACACACAAGUUGCGAAAUAAACGCGUGAAAGAGAACAGAUUCCUCGCGAA